UGGUGAAUAGGCACCAAGAGAAGUUC
RNAcentral lists this non-coding RNA (26 nucleotides) under Rattus norvegicus (Norway rat). Lineage: Eukaryota; Metazoa; Chordata; Mammalia; Rodentia; Muridae. The record is from RNAcentral.